This 1214-nucleotide long non-coding RNA is filed under the name Sus scrofa (pig). RNAcentral describes it as "lncRNA (ENSSSCG00035055346.1)". The record is from RNAcentral. Lineage: Eukaryota; Metazoa; Chordata; Mammalia; Artiodactyla; Suidae.
ACCAUGAGGUUGCAGGUUCCAUCCCUGGCCUCGCUCAGUGGGUUGAGGAUCCGGCAUUGCCGUGAGCUGUGGUGUAGGCUGCAGACUUGGCUUGGAUCCCGGGUUGCUGUGGCUCUGGUGUAGGUCAGCUCCGAUUGGGCUCCUAGCCUGGGAACCUCCAUAUGCUGCGGGUUCGGCCCCCAAAAAUGGCAAAAAAGACAAAAAAAAAAAAAAGUGCAUGAAAAAAUUGGGAAAAAAAAAGUGCAGAGUUCCCGUUGUGGCUCAGGGGAAAUGAAUCUGAUUAGCAUUCAUGAGGACACAGGUUUGAUACCUGGCCUAACUCAGUGGGUUAAGGAUCUGGCAUUGCCGUGAGCUGUGGUGUAUGUAGGUUGCAGACACAGCUCGGAUCCCACGUUGCUGUGGCUGUGGUGUAGGCUGGCAGCUGUAGCUCCAAUUUGACCCCUAGCCUGGGAACCUCCAUAUGCCAAAGGUGUGGCCCUAAAAAGAAAAAAAGAAUUGGAAAAAAAUAAAACGUUUAAGAAGGUUAAAAAAAAAAAGAGAAAGAAACAGAAACAGAAGUGCCUGGCGAGGAUGUUCAUGAAGGGUCCCCGGGGGCCGUGGGAGGGGAUGCUCUGAAAGUCGUGUCCAGGAUCUGACCUUGGAGGGGGAGGGGCAGGAAGAGGAAAGCCAACUUUCUGCAAGCCUCGGGUGUGGCUGUCCUGUGUCCUCACCACCCUGCAGCCGUGCCUGGCCCGCAGAGGGCGGGGUCAUCAGGGGGUAGGUGGGGAGACCCAGCAGAGCCCAACAGCUGAGUUUUGGCUUCUGCCUGUUUUCAGAGACCUGGAGGCGAAACUGUGUGUUGAAGAUGCCCAGAGGCAGUGUGGGAAUUUGCAGAGGGAUUGGAGAGGGAGCUCCAGAUAUUACAGCGUUGGCCUCAAGGAACGAGCUCUCUGAAGGCGGCAGGAUCAUCGUGUCAGCCUUAUUUCUUCGAUCGUGGCUCUCUCGUGCACCAGUUGCUGUACCAACCGCCCUGAUUUUAUGGCCAGCCUUAGACAUGUGAGAUUCCAAUUGACUGUGAGGCCCUGGAGGCGCCGGCAGGCAGGUGCCUGCCCACAGCAGCAGGGCGCCCUUAUUUUCCAGCCCGCCUCUCAAGGACAAACGUAAACCCUCCAAGAACACCGGUGGAGGGGCGGCCCUCUGAGUGCCUGGAAUCAUUGUUAGUAUCCUCAGAAUAC